CCUGAAUCAGAUAUGGCAGCUUCCUAUAUUCCUGUUGGGACUUGCUCUGUAGAAGCAUUUGCAGCACGAGGCAGAUUUGAGGACUGGAACAAGGAUUUCCUUGUUUAUUUUUUUCCCACUGGAGCAUUUAGAUCCUGCCAUUCGAGUGUAAAUAGUGCACCUAUUGUUCUCUGACUCUGGCGAGAAACAGCAAGGCACUGUGCUAGGCCGGGGGGCAAACCAGUGGUGGUGGCUGCCCUGGCUUUCUCCUUGCCCAAAGCAGAGAGUGAGGAACGUCAGGAAGAUGUCAGGCUUUGCCUCUAGAUGGAUUUUAGAUGACAUUUCCCCCUCCUCUCCUCAUUUUUUCUCCUAACCACUCCCCUGAGCUACUAUUACCUAACUUUUACACAAACAAGCAGAGCUCAGAAGCAGUAACUGAACAGCUGCCUGGCUUGCUUGUCACCCUUUGCACAAAGAGACUUCACCCAACUGGAAAGUGUUUCGGGAAAACAAAUCUUUGCAGAAGGAAUCCUGCGCUGAAGCCCUUUGC
This 529-nucleotide long non-coding RNA is filed under the name Podarcis muralis (Common wall lizard). RNAcentral describes it as "lncRNA (ENSPMRG00000012652.1)". Lineage: Eukaryota; Metazoa; Chordata; Lepidosauria; Squamata; Lacertidae. The record is from RNAcentral.